Molecule: ribosomal RNA, 253 nt
Filed under: uncultured bacterium
Lineage: Bacteria
Description: partial 16S ribosomal RNA
Rfam family: Bacterial small subunit ribosomal RNA
Source: RNAcentral
UACGUGUGGGGCAAGCGUUGUUCGGAAUUACUGGGCUUAAAGGGUUCGUAGGCGGCCUGUUAAGUCAGGGGUGAAAUCCCACGGCCCAACCGUGGAAUUGCCUUUGAUACUGAUGGGCUUGAGUGUGUUAGGGGUAAGCGGAACGUGUGGUGUAGCGGUGAAAUGCGUAGAUAUCACACGGAAGGCCGGAGGCGAAGGCGGCUUACUGGGACACAACUGACGCUGAGGAACGAAAGCGUGGGGAGCAAACAGG